Small RNA from Clostridiales bacterium CHKCI001, 73 nucleotides. It matches the Rfam family "RAGATH-18 RNA". Rfam says of the family: Actinobacteria, Firmicutes, Fusobacteria, Thermotogae (1 example). The record is from Rfam. NCBI's taxonomy places the organism in Bacteria, Bacillati, Bacillota, Clostridia, Eubacteriales.
ACUGUGGAGUGUACAAAAACUUGUGAGUAGUGUGUUGCCUGCAACCACCAAAACAUACACAGCGAAGUAGUAA